Molecule: ribosomal RNA, 628 nt
Filed under: uncultured bacterium
Lineage: Bacteria
Description: bacterial SSU rRNA
Rfam family: Bacterial small subunit ribosomal RNA
Source: RNAcentral
AACGAACGCUGGCGGCAGGCCUAACACAUGCAAGUCGAACGCUCUCUUCGGAGGGAGUGGCGCACGGGUGAGUAACGCGUGGGAACCUACCCUGGGGUACGGAAUAACAGCGGGAAACUGCUGCUAAUACCGUAUACGCCUUUAGGGGGAAAGAUUUAUCGCCCUGGGAUGGGCCCGCGUCCGAUUAGUUAGUUGGUGGGGUAACGGCCUACCAAGGCUUCGAUCGGUAGCUGGUCUGAGAGGAUGAUCAGCCACACUGGGACUGAGACACGGCCCAGACUCCUACGGGAGGCAGCAGUGGGGAAUCUUGGACAAUGGGGGCAACCCUGAUCCAGCCAUGCCGCGCGAGUGAAGAAGGCCUUAGGGUUGUAAAGCUCUUUCAGUGGUGACGAUGAUGACGGUAACCACAGAAGAAGCCCCGGCUAACUCCGUGCCAGCAGCCGCGGUAAUACGGAGGGGGCAAGCGUUGUUCGGAAUUACUGGGCGUAAAGGGCGCGUAGGCGGUCUGUGCAAGUUAGAGGUGAAAGCCCCGGGCUCAACCUGGGAAUUGCCUUUAAAACUGCUGGGCUUGAGUCCGGAAGAGGAUGGCGGAAUUCCCAGUGUAGAGGUGAAAUUCGUAGAUAUUGGG